UACGUAGGAUGCAAGCGUUGUCCGGAAUUAUUGGGCGUAAAGCGCACGUAGGCGGCUUUGCAAGUCCCAUGUGAAAGCCCACGGCUUAACCGUGGAAGUGCAUGGGAAACUGCAGAGCUUGAGUACUUAAGAGGAUCGCGGAAUUCCCGGUGUAGAGGUGAAAUUCGUAGAUAUCAGGAGGAACACCAGUGGCGAAGGCGGCUUUCUGGACGAUUACUGACGCUGAGACGCGAAAGCGUGGGGAGCAAACAGG
This 253-nucleotide ribosomal RNA is filed under the name uncultured bacterium. RNAcentral describes it as "partial 16S ribosomal RNA". It matches the Rfam family "Bacterial small subunit ribosomal RNA", at positions 524 to 776 of the family's 1533-position model. The record is from RNAcentral.